Molecule: long non-coding RNA, 1627 nt
Organism: Oryctolagus cuniculus (rabbit)
Lineage: Eukaryota; Metazoa; Chordata; Mammalia; Lagomorpha; Leporidae
Source: Ensembl
NNNNGUCACAGCCCGUCUGUCUCUGCCACAGCCCGUCUGUCUCUGCCACAGCCCGUCUCUGCCACAGCCCGUCUGUCUCUGUCACAGCCCGUCUCUGUCACAGCCCGUCUGUCUCUGUCACAGCCCGUCUCUGUCACAGCCUGUCUGUCUCUGCCACAGCCCGUCUGUCUCUGCCACAGCCUGUCUGUCUCUGUCACAGCCCGUCUGUCUCUGCCACAGCCCGUCUGUCUCUGCCACAGCCCGUCUCUGCCACAGCCCGUCUGUCUCUGUCACAGCCCGUCUCUGCCACAGCCCGUCUGUCUCUGCCCCAGCCCGUCUGUCUCUGCCACAGCCCGUCUGUCUCUGCCACAGCCCGUCUCUGCCACAGCCCGUCUGUCUCUGUCACAGCCCGUCUCUGUCACAGCCUGUCUCUGUCACAGCCCGUCUAUGUCACAGCCUGUCUGUCUCUGCCACAGCCCGUCUGUCUGUCUCUGUCACAGCCCGUCUCUGUCACAGCCCGUCUGUCUGUCACAGCCCGUCUGUCUCUGUCACAGCCCGUCUCUGUCACAGCCCAUCUGUCUGUCUCUGCCAUAGCCCAUCUCUGUCACAGCCCGUCUGUCUCUGUCACAGCCCGUCUGUCUCUGUCACAGCCCGUCACUGUCACAGCCCGUCUCUGUCACAGCCCGUCUGUCUGUCACAGCCCGUCUGUCUGUCACAGCCCGUCUGUCUGUCUGUCACGGAGCUGGGCGACGAGGACGCGACCCAGAGCCACAAAACGAGGUCGCAGCCUCAGGAAGCUCCUGGAAUCAGAAGCCGGCCUCCUGGGGGCGGAGCUUGCAGCAGCCCUCUCAGGUGUAUGGGCCCACCUGUCUCGGCCGGAGCCCCUGCACACGGAGUCCGAGCAGCCGCCCCAAGUGGCCACAAAGUCCAGGUGGACGGCAGGACGAAGCUCCAGUGUCCGCAGCACAGCGAGGCCUGCAGGGCUGCCAGGCAGGAGCUUGGGCACCUGUGGGGACGUGGGGGCCCUGAUGUGAUCAGCGAGGUGCCGGCCGGCCACGCAGCGCCCCCAGCAGCACCGUCAGAAGAUGGAAGCAGGGGCUGGCACUGUGUAGUGGGUAAAGCCGCUGCCUGCAGUGCCAGCAUCCCAUAUGGGCACCGGUUCGAGUCCCGGCUGCUCCAGUUCCAAUACAGCUCUCUGCUAUGACCUGGAAAAGCAGUGGAAGACGGCCCAAGUGCUUGGGCCCCUGCAUCAGCGUGGGAGACCUGGAAGAAGCUCCUGGCUCCUGGCUUCAGAUUAGCCCAGCUCAUCAUUGCAGCCAAUUGGGGAGUGAACCAGUGGAUGGAAGACCUCUCUCUCCCUCCUCCCUCCCUCUCUCUCCCCCUCUCCCUCUUCUUCUCUUCUGUGUAACUCUGACUUUCAAAUAAAAAAAUAAAUCUUAAAAAAAUUUAAAAAAAGAAAAUAGAAGCAGCAACUUUCCCCUUUGAUCGUCUCGCGUGGUGUAGCCUACAUGGAAACGUGGCCGCCCCGGAAGUGGCCUGGUCAGCCCAUCCGACACAGUGAGGUCGCACGUGGCCACCGAGGGAGACUCCCCUGCAGUGGCGAGUGCAUUUCGCAGCUGCGUCCCCGGCUGCUGUCCUCCCCAGAGGU